This 255-nucleotide ribosomal RNA is filed under the name Pseudomonas fluorescens. RNAcentral describes it as "23S ribosomal RNA". It matches the Rfam family "Bacterial large subunit ribosomal RNA", at positions 1406 to 1660 of the family's 2925-position model. The record is from RNAcentral. Lineage: Bacteria; Pseudomonadati; Pseudomonadota; Gammaproteobacteria; Pseudomonadales; Pseudomonadaceae.
AAAGCGUAGUCGAUGGGAAACAGGUUAAUAUUCCUGUACUUCUGGUUAUUGCGAUGGAGGGACGGAGAAGGCUAGGCCAGCUUGGCGUUGGUUGUCCAAGUUUAAGGUGGUAGGCUGGAAUCUUAGGUAAAUCCGGGAUUCUAAGGCCGAGAGCUGAUGACGAGUUAUCUUUUAGAUGACGAAGUGGUUGAUGCCAUGCUUCCAAGAAAAGCUUCUAAGCUUCAGGUAACCAGGAACCGUACCCUAAACCGACAC